UUCAGGAUGAAUAUCCUCCUUAUCUUCACCUUCUACCUGAUCUCAGGUCCUGUGAGCUGCUUUGAUGUGAUUGGCUACUCUGGAGGAAUUGUCAUGAUCUACUGUACAAUACCGGAGAAUAAAGGAUACAAUAUGUAUUUCUGUAAGGAAUCAGCAACAGAGUGUGUGUAUCCAGAAUCUGAUUCAUCACCGAACACAUGGGAUCAUAAAGGCAGAGUUUCUGUAGAUGAGAUUCCUGGAUUCCUCACAGUGAUCUACAGAGAUCUGAGUUUAGAGGACACUGGAUUAUAUCAGUGUGGAGAGACUGGAGAGUGGCAGGAGACUUUGAAGCUGAACGUAAAAUCAGAUCCAUGCUGUCUGGGGUCAAAGACUGUGAUUGGUUAUCUGGGAGAAACCGUCACCAUGAGCUGUUCCUAUCCAGAGGAGUCUGAAGAAAAGGCUAAGAUCUUCUAUAAACAGGAUUUUGAGGAGUUUACACUUAUUAUUGGUACCAGUGAUUCUCAGAAAGGCACAUCCUCUAAGACUCUGAAAGAAAAAUUCUCCAUCUCUGAGGACCGUGAGUCUAGAGUUGUCAGUGUGAGAAUCAGAGAUGUGAUAAAAGAAGAUGAAGGUGAUUAUUACUGUGGAGCACCAGGUGAUGAGGGUGCAGCCAAUUAUGAAACCUUCUUCACUAAGAUUCACCUGCAGGUUACAGGUAAGAUCCACUUGUUUUGAUUACUCUAUCCAGCAAGCAGAGGGCUCAGGCUAAAGAGUAGUCAAAAA
RNAcentral lists this long non-coding RNA (762 nucleotides) under Astyanax mexicanus (Mexican tetra). RNAcentral describes it as "lncRNA (ENSAMXG00005008879.1)". Lineage: Eukaryota; Metazoa; Chordata; Actinopteri; Characiformes; Acestrorhamphidae. The record is from RNAcentral.